AACGGUCCUAAGGUAGCGAAAUUCCUUGUCGGGUAAGUUCCGACCCGCACGAAAGGCGUAACGAUUUGGGCACUGUCUCAACGAGAGACUCGGUGAAAUCAUAGUACCUGUGAAGAUGCAGGUUACCCGCGACAGGACGGAAAGACCCCGUGGAGCUUUACUGUAGCCUGAUAUUGAAAUUCGGCACAGCUUGUACAGGAUAGGUAGGAGCCUUUGAAACGUGAGCGCUAGCUUACGUGGAGGCGCUGGUGGGAUACUACCCUAGCUGUGUUGGCUUUCUAACCCGCACCACUUAUCGUGGUGGGAGACAGUGUCAGGCGGGCAGUUUGACUGGGGCGGUCGCCUCCUAAAAGGUAACGGAGGCGCUCAAAGGUUCCCUCAGAAUGGUUGGAAAUCAUUCAUAGAGUGUAAAGGCAUAAGGGAGCUUGACUGCGAGACCUACAAGUCGAGCAGGGUCGAAAGACGGACUUAGUGAUCCGGUGGUUCCGCAUGGAAGGGCCAUCGCUCAACGGAUAAAAGCUACCCCGGGGAUAACAGGCUUAUCUCCCCCAAGAGUUCACAUCGACGGGGAGGUUUGGCACCUCGAUGUCGGCUCAUCGCAUCCUGGGGCUGUAGUCGGUCCCAAGGGUUGGGCUGUUCGCCCAUUAAAGCGGUACGCGAGCUGGGUUCAGAACGUCGUGAGACAGUUCGGUCCCUAUCCGUCGUGGGCGUAGGAAAUUUGAGAGGAGCUGUCCUUAGUACGAGAGGACCGGGAUGGACAUACCUCUGGUGUACCAGUUGUCGUGCCAACGGCAUAGCUGGGUAGCUAUGUAUGGACGGGAUAAGUGCUGAAAGCAUCUAAGCAUGAAGCCCCCCUCAAGAUGAGAUUUCCCAACUUCGGUUAUAAGAUCCCUCGAAGAUGACGAGGUUAAUAGGUUCGAGGUGGAAGCGUGGUGACACGUGGAGCUGACGAAUACUAAUCGAUCGAAGACUUAAUCAA
This 979-nucleotide ribosomal RNA is filed under the name Enterobacter hormaechei. Its description in RNAcentral is "partial 23S ribosomal RNA". It matches the Rfam family "Bacterial large subunit ribosomal RNA", at positions 1944 to 2925 of the family's 2925-position model. The record is from RNAcentral. Lineage: Bacteria; Pseudomonadati; Pseudomonadota; Gammaproteobacteria; Enterobacterales; Enterobacteriaceae.